This 516-nucleotide ribosomal RNA is filed under the name Vaejovis vorhiesi group sp. RWB-2013. RNAcentral describes it as "eukaryotic LSU rRNA". It matches the Rfam family "Eukaryotic large subunit ribosomal RNA", at positions 664 to 1138 of the family's 3401-position model. The record is from RNAcentral. Lineage: Eukaryota; Metazoa; Arthropoda; Arachnida; Scorpiones; Vaejovidae.
GACCAAGGAGUCUAACAUGUGCGCGAGUCGUCGGGUCUUGAAUAGGCCCGCAGGCGCAAUUAAAGUGAAGGGCGACCCCGUUGUCGUCUGCGUUGGGAUCCUCAGACUGCCGUGUCUGGGGCGCACCAACGGCCCGUCCCGUCCGCAGCGUCGGUGGGACGGAGCGAGAGCGUACACGUUGGGACCCGAAAGAUGGUGAACUAUGCCUGGGCAGGACGAGGCCAGAGGAAACUCUGGUGGAGGUCCGCAGCGAUUCUGACGUGCAAAUCGAUCGUCAGACCUGGGUAUAGGGGCGAAAGACUAAUCGAACCGUCUAGUAGCUGGUUCCCUCCGAAGUUUCCCUCAGGAUAGCUGGCGCUCGAGGGAGUCAGUCUCAUCCGGUAAAGCGAAUGAUUAGAGGCCUUGGGGCCGAAACGACCUCAACCUAUUCUCAAACUUUCAAUGGGUGAGAAGUCCGGUUUACAUGACUGAAGCCCGGACAAUUCUCAGGAUGCGAGUGCCCAGUGGGCCACUUUU